This 87-nucleotide transfer RNA is filed under the name Candidatus Kaiserbacteria bacterium CG10_big_fil_rev_8_21_14_0_10_45_20. Its description in RNAcentral is "tRNA-Ser". It matches the Rfam family "tRNA". From Rfam's summary of the family: Transfer RNA (tRNA) molecules are approximately 80 nucleotides in length. Their secondary structure includes four short double-helical elements and three loops (D, anti-codon, and T loops). The record is from RNAcentral. Lineage: Bacteria; Candidatus Kaiseribacteriota.
GGAGAGUUGGCUGAGUGGUCGAAAGCGCCUCACUGCUAACGAGGUAGGGCUUAACCGCCCUCGCGGGUUCGAAUCCCGCACUCUCCG